Molecule: ribosomal RNA, 398 nt
Filed under: Centruroides balsasensis
Lineage: Eukaryota; Metazoa; Arthropoda; Arachnida; Scorpiones; Buthidae
Description: partial 16S ribosomal RNA
Rfam family: Bacterial large subunit ribosomal RNA (bases 92-398)
Source: RNAcentral
GGAUAAUCAUUAGUCUUAAUAAUUUAAGGCCUGAAAUGAAGGGAUAAACUUAGAGAGCUGUUUCUUAGCCUUUUUCUUUUUAAAUUUUACUUUUAAGUAAAAAGGCUAAAAUGUUUCUUUUAGACAAGAAGACCCUAUAAAGCUUUACAUAAAAUAAUUUAAUAGAUUAAGAAUAUGUUUCACUGGGGCGGUGGAAGGAUAAACACCUUUACAAUAUUAAAAUAUCGUCAUUUUAAUACCCCAAAAAUUUUGAAGCUUAAAUAAGUUACUUUAGGGAUAACAGCGUAAUAUAUUUUGAAAGUUCAAAUUGACAAAUAUGUUUGCGACCUCGAUGUUGGAUUAGAUUUCCACUAUUCCGCAAGAGGAAUAAAAAGGGUCUGUCGACCCAAAAAUCACCA